Long non-coding RNA from Gadus macrocephalus (Pacific cod), 1232 nucleotides. RefSeq lists it as uncharacterized. The transcript has 2 exons. Lineage: Eukaryota; Metazoa; Chordata; Actinopteri; Gadiformes; Gadidae. The record is from RefSeq and is a predicted model, not a curated record.
GGGAGGUGGACUGCUGGCCGGUGACGUGCGCGGCCCUGGGGAGUGCGACCUGAGCGCCGUCCCGAGGGGGAGUGCUGCCCCCGCUGCGUCGCCGACCCCUGCCGCGCCGACCCCGGUCGCCCCGACAACGACCUGGGGGGCACCUGCACGGACGAGAGCGGCCUGACGCGCCUCGGCGGAGCCACCUGGACCAAGCACGGAGCGGAGUGCACGCUCUGCCAGUGCAAGAACGGCCACGUCUGUUGCUCCAAGGACCCUCUGUGCCGCUAGCCGCGCCCAACGCCGGGGCCACGCCCACUGAACGGCAUGCCCCUCUGGCCACGCCCCUCUGGCCACGCCCCGCCCGCCAGCUCUGUAUAAACCGCUCCCCCCGCGCCCUCUUUUGUGAAGCCCUACGUCAAACUCGCCCUGCUCAGAUCACUUCGGUGCACCUCCCCGUCCGUCCCUCACUCCGUCUCCUGUCCGUCUGUCUCUCCGUCUGUCCCUCCGUCAAUCUGUCCCUCCCUCAUUCCAUCCAUCCAGCUCUCCCACGAUGUUUUUCCAUCGGUCCGUCCGUUCCGACCGACCUCAUCGUUUUUCUGUCCAUCCAUUCCGACUUGCGUUGGUCUGCAUACACCAUGGUACACCACCCGUGCGUUCACCCAUCCGUCUAGUCAUUCAUCUAUCAUUCCUUCCACCACCUCCUCGAUGUUCAGCAGGUCAGGAACGCCGGGUCACAACCGAUCCGAACGCUACGGAUAAAUAGCUCCACCGGAUAAACGAACGAUAAGCAAAGGACUCUGACCAGUCCAGUCCACGGAUUCACCCCGGUCCGUUUGUAUGUUUAUAGCUUCAGUAAACAACUCGGAAAGUGGCUUGCGCUGUUCCAUGUCAUUUGAUAUUUUCUCCGACCAAUCAGUGUUGUUUCCCCCCCCCCCCCCCCUCCCUCCCUGCCUGGCCUUGGUUUUUGUGAAACAACGAGUUCCGUCCGCACUGCGCUCGCAUUGUGAGCGUCGGACGUUUUCCGAUGUGUCGGGUUCGUUCCCCGCGGUGUCCCUUGUCCGAGGGGUUAUGGGGUCUUGGGGGGGGGGGCCGUUUCAAACCGAUAACCGUUUCCUUUCUCUGAGACUUUGAAUAGAACUGUGCUUUUGUACCGUAGCUUUAUCCUGUUCCGUCCUGGUUGGAAGUAUUUAGUGGCUUGAUAUUGUGUACUGAGAAAUUUAAACUUUCCAUUAAAGUGACUGAAAAGAGAA